RNAcentral lists this long non-coding RNA (718 nucleotides) under Betta splendens (Siamese fighting fish). Its description in RNAcentral is "lncRNA (ENSBSLG00000024291.1)". The record is from RNAcentral. Lineage: Eukaryota; Metazoa; Chordata; Actinopteri; Anabantiformes; Osphronemidae.
UCUUGCCUCUCUGGCACGCUGCCUUUCAGCCUCCAUCCUCUUUGAACAGCUGAAAAGUCUGAGAUACAUUAUUGGAGCUAAUCAGAGUCGAAUGAGGGAAGCGCUGAGGUGAGACAGCAGAAAUUACCUCCCUCCUCAGCCUGCCUGUUCCCGGUGCCCCCUCUCAGCCUCUGUCCACGCGUUCUCUGAUGGAGGUGGAGAGAUGAAGGAGGAGGGCGGCGGCGGCGGCGAGCUGAGCCGAAGGCACGGCCGCGGCGCCGACGAGUCACAGCGCGGUGAUUGAAUGAUUCUCUAAUACAAUGAGGUGGAUUGAACAAACUGCUGCACGCUUGAUGGACCCUCUGGGAAUAAUCAACACAGAGAGGGGCUCGCGCUGCACGUUGAACCUGGAUAAAAGGCCGCGUUUGAGGCCUGAGCCGGGGCUGCGUCGACUCUGCUGCUCCGCCGCUGUGGGAGGAAGGUUGACGGGGCUUCAUGGACGCAUGAAAAAUGAAACCAGGUAUUGACUUUUAAUCACACAUCAGCCGCGGUGAUUUGUUUAAACAAACCCUGCGCGUCAGGCGGAGGAGCAGACACGCCCGAGCGCCGACGCCGCUGAGCCGGCGCUCCUCCGUCAUCUGUCACCCCAGAGGUCGAUCACCGGGUUCCGCCGAGCGCUGACAGGCCCUCUGUCAGGCUCGCUGUCCCUGCCGGCAGGCCACUUCUCCCGCUGUCCCCU